GAUAACCAAAAUAUAUCACAUAAGACCAUUGAACCAAGUUUCAGAAAUGAAAUUAAAAAAACUUACAAUAAGAUUUGAAAUUCAUAGAGUGAAGGCAAAUUGCUUUUGAAACGACCUUCAGCUUAUAAGCACCAGUUCCUAUUGUUCGACUUCGAUCGAAUGAAGAACCCAAUAAAAUUAAAAUUAAUUCUUAAUGAAACGCCUGCAAUUAAACAUAGGAUUAAUUAAGACAAUGAAUAGAUCCUGUAUUAUAGACAAUGAUAAACAAUUUUGUUCUUUAGUUGAAGAAAGUGAAUGAAAUAAUAAUACUAAACUUCAUCUUUAACUUAUUGGACACAAUUUUGCACUUCUAUGUAACCAUGUUUCACUUUUUCCUUUUGAAAUGGACACAAUUUUGCACUUCUAUGUAACCACCCCUGUAUAAAAGUAAACCUUAUUGAGUUUAAAAUAGGGUGAAUAUUUCAAUCUGUUAGAAAUUUGCAAGAACUGUUACAUAACCAUCACAUUUGUUGUCAUUAAUACCUUCGACCAUCUUUUGUAAUACUUUAACAGCAAGAGUAUCAAAAAGUUAGAAAAAAGGCAUUUAUUGUCAUCACUUUUGACACGUGCGUUUUCUUGAAAUCGGUCUCAUUAGAAAGUACUCUUGUUCAACAAAAUGCAAUUACAGUAGAUCAAGCUCACUAAUAUUGAACUUUAACCUACUUUAUGUAGGACCUCUCUUUUUAAAACAAUUAUAAUGAAACUAAACAACAAAAUCAAUUUGAAAUAAAGGGGAAUACCAAAGUUUAUACCUCGGACACCAAAUAAGUUGUUUUUGUAAUCAUUAUAUUCAAAGGUUAAUACAAAUUAUGUCAUGAUAUUAUACCAAACAACUCAAUUAACUCCAGUAAGUCAAUGAUUAUCGCUUCAAAAUACACAAGCGACUUGAGAUUACAAAAGACGAUAAGCAAAAGAAAAGUAAGUAGACAGGGAGAGGCCUAAAAUAGAGAAAAUUUGAUUCACAUAUAUACAAACUUACACCAAUUGAGUAUAUAAUACCCUUUUUUAUGAUGAAAAAUUCAAUUCAAAUGAAACUGAAAGUAUUUUUUUGGUUUAGUUGACAAUACCAGAAAUUGUUGAGGGUCUGGCCACGUUGGGAGCUUUCUCUUCGCUUCCCAAAACUUUAAAGUUGUUAUUGAACCCAUAUAUAAUAGCACCAAGCUCCAUAAGGUCGAACACCUUGAAUAUAUAUAGAUGGUUUGCUCUUAAUCAUGUUGACAUAAUCCAUGCUACCACUUUUUGUGAUGAUACUUGGCUUGGUA
Molecule: long non-coding RNA, 1301 nt
Filed under: Lactuca sativa (garden lettuce)
Lineage: Eukaryota; Viridiplantae; Streptophyta; Magnoliopsida; Asterales; Asteraceae
Description: long non-coding RNA (LSAT_LNC009500)
Source: RNAcentral